RNAcentral lists this ribosomal RNA (585 nucleotides) under uncultured bacterium. RNAcentral describes it as "bacterial SSU rRNA". It matches the Rfam family "Bacterial small subunit ribosomal RNA", at positions 338 to 916 of the family's 1533-position model. The record is from RNAcentral.
CCUACGGGAGGCAGCAGUGGGGAAUUUUGGACAAUGGGCGCAAGCCUGAUCCAGCCAUGCCGCGUGCGGGAAGAAGGCCUUCGGGUUGUAAACCGCUUUUGUCAGGGAAGAAACGCUCCGAACUAAUACUUUGGGGUAAUGACGGUACCUGAAGAAUAAGCACCGGCUAACUACGUGCCAGCAGCCGCGGUAAUACGUAGGGUGCAAGCGUUAAUCGGAAUUACUGGGCGUAAAGCGUGCGCAGGCGGUCUUGUAAGACAGAGGUGAAAUCCCCGGGCUCAACCUGGGAACUGCCUUUGUGACUGCAAGGCUUGAGUACGGUAGAGGGGGAUGGAAUUCCGCGUGUAGCAGUGAAAUGCGUAGAUAUGCGGAGGAACACCGAUGGCGAAGGCAAUCCCCUGGACCUGUACUGACGCUCAUGCACGAAAGCGUGGGGAGCAAACAGGAUUAGAUACCCUGGUAGUCCACGCCCUAAACGAUGUCAACUGGUUGUUGGGAAGGUUCCUUCUCAGUAACGUAGCUAACGCGUGAAGUUGACCGCCUGGGGAGUACGGCCGCAAGGUUGAAACUCAAAUGAAUUGACGG